UCAGCUUUUGCAAAAAUUUAAAUAUUUUUUGUUUUAUUAUGUGAAUCAUAUAAAUACUUGGUCAAACUUAAGGUCAACCCUCAAUUCUUUUCUCUAAAUUCAAGAGCUAGUAAUUAAAAAUUGUGCAUUCAAAUUUAAACACAUGCUUGCACAAGUGAUUUGAAAUUUCAUUUAAUUUUAUUUGGAUCUCAUGUCAGAGUUUGUAUUUUGGAUCUAAUUCAAAAUACAAACUAAAGCUAACUUAAAUAAAAAUCUGUUUGACUGACUUUGCACCCGAGCUGUCCCAAACUGCUCGGAAGUCCGCUAACAAUCUCUCCAAGCUCUAACUUAGCCUACCAACUCAAUCAACCCGUUAACCUGCUAACCCUAACUUGACCCACUAACUUUCCUGGCCUGCUCGUUUUUAAAAUGCUCUGGCAUUCCUUAAAUGGUUUAGAAGUUUAUUUCCGACCCUUCGAAUUGCUCCUUUGCUGGGUGAUUCAAUUUCGAAAAUAAACUAAUUCAUCUAGACUAAAUUCCCGAGAGCUCAAUUUGAAUUAUGACGAUAUUUUCCAGCUCCUCGAAUGAAUACCUCGCUAUUUAAUUCGUUGCCAAAAAAAUAGUCUAAUUCCUCUGUUCCAAGUCUACGGAAUAAAUUGCAAUCAAUUUAUUUUGUGGGCUUAAGUGGUGUUGGCCUUAACCUUAAAGCCCACCUAAUCCUAACCCUAACCCUAACCUCCUUCUUUAGAUACCCCUCUAAUCCCUCACCCUCUCUCCUAUCUUUCUCC
This 767-nucleotide long non-coding RNA is filed under the name Setaria viridis. RNAcentral's name for it is "long non-coding RNA (SVIR_LNC007971)". The record is from RNAcentral. Lineage: Eukaryota; Viridiplantae; Streptophyta; Magnoliopsida; Poales; Poaceae.